This is a ribosomal RNA of Crocodylus porosus (Australian saltwater crocodile), 114 nucleotides long. The record is from Ensembl. NCBI's taxonomy places the organism in Eukaryota, Metazoa, Chordata, Crocodylia, Crocodylidae.
CCCAGCAGCCGUACCACCUCAGGCUGUGAUCUUGUCAGAUCUCACAAGCUAAGCAGGUCGAGCUUGGUUAGUAAUUGGAUAGAAGACCUCCAAGGAAAACCUGGGGUGCCGAAU